GACGAACGCUGGCGGCGUGCCUAAUACAUGCAAGUCGAACGCUUCUUUCCUCCCGAGUGCUUGCACUCAAUUGGAAAGAGGAGUGGCGGACGGGUGAGUAACACGUGGGUAACCUACCCAUCAGAGGGGGAUAACACUUGGAAACAGGUGCUAAUACCGCAUAACAGUUUAUGCCGCAUGGCAUAAGAGUGAAAGGCGCUUUCGGGUGUCGCUGAUGGAUGGACCCGCGGUGCAUUAGCUAGUUGGUGAGGUAACGGCUCACCAAGGCCACGAUGCAUAGCCGACCUGAGAGGGUGAUCGGCCACACUGGGACUGAGACACGGCCCAGACUCCUACGGGAGGCAGCAGUAGGGAAUCUUCGGCAAUGGACGAAAGUCUGACCGAGCAACGCCGCGUGAGUGAAGAAGGUGUUCGGAUCGUAAAACUCUGUUGUUAGAGAAGAACAAGGACGUUAGUAACUGGACGUCCCCUGACGGUAUCUAACCAGAAAGCCACGGCUAACUACGUG
This 508-nucleotide ribosomal RNA is filed under the name uncultured bacterium. RNAcentral's name for it is "partial 16S ribosomal RNA". It matches the Rfam family "Bacterial small subunit ribosomal RNA", at positions 28 to 507 of the family's 1533-position model. The record is from RNAcentral.